GCUGCCGCCGUGCUGUUGCUGCUGCUGCGCGAAUCCGUCGCCGCCGCGCGUUAUUAGUGCACGUUAAUCUCGGGUCGACGGUCUUCGUUAAUCCGUUCGUCACGUCGCCGCGCGUAUACGUACACGUUGUAUAUAGUUGACGCGUCGUCGAGGCCUGUGCGGGAGCGCGAAACGGGACGUCGCCGAAACCCGUACGGUUAUCGUUCGUUAUCGUUAAAUAUUAUUGUGGCCGUUGUUUCGCAUUGUAUAGGAACGAUAAAUUAUUUUUAUUAUUCAUUUUCAUUGUGUUUAAUGUCGCGAUGAACGGCCGGAAGACGUCGUAUCCGCUGUCGUCGCUGUCGCCGCCGACGCCGACUACCACGUCGUAGUGGCAUACCCAAUAAAUUUAAUAAUCAUAAUACAAACUAUAUAAAA
Non-coding RNA from Cinara cedri, 414 nucleotides. Lineage: Eukaryota; Metazoa; Arthropoda; Insecta; Hemiptera; Aphididae. The record is from the annotation of a GenBank genome assembly.